This 433-nucleotide ribosomal RNA is filed under the name uncultured bacterium. RNAcentral's name for it is "partial 16S ribosomal RNA". It matches the Rfam family "Bacterial small subunit ribosomal RNA", at positions 29 to 507 of the family's 1533-position model. The record is from RNAcentral.
AACGAACGCUGGCGGCAUGCCUAACACAUGCAAGUCGAACGAGCCCUUCGGGGCUAGUGGCGCACGGGUGCGUAACGCGUGGGAACCUGCCCUUAGGUUCGGAAUAACUCCCCGAAAGGGGUGCUAAUACCGGAUAUUGCCUUCGGACCAAAGAUUUAUCGCCUUUGGAUGGGCCCGCGUUGGAUUAGCUAGUUGGUAGGGUAAAAGCCUACCAAGGCGACGAUCCAUAGCUGGUCUGAGAGGAUGAUCAGCCACACUGGGACUGAGACACGGCCCAGACUCCUACGGGAGGCAGCAGUGGGGAAUAUUGGGCAAUGGGCGAAAGCCUGAUGCAGCCAUGCCGCGUGAGUGAUGAAGGCCUUAGGGUUGUAAAGCUCUUUCACCCGGGAUGAUAAUGACGGUACCCGGAGAAGAAGCUCCGGCUAACUCCGUG